UACGGAGGGGGCUAGCGUUGUUCGGAAUUAUUGGGCGUAAAGGGCGCGUAGGCGGCCCGGCAAGUCAGUGGUGAAAGCCCUCGGCUCAACCGAGGAAUUGCCAUUGAAACUGCCGGGCUCGAGUCCUGGAGAGGGUAGCGGAAUUCCCAGUGUAGCGGUGAAAUGCGUAGAUAUUGGGAGGAACACCCGUGGCGAAGGCGGCUACCUGGACAGGUACUGACGCUGAGGCGCGAAAGCGUGGGGAGCAAACAGG
RNAcentral lists this ribosomal RNA (253 nucleotides) under uncultured bacterium. RNAcentral's name for it is "partial 16S ribosomal RNA". It matches the Rfam family "Bacterial small subunit ribosomal RNA", at positions 524 to 776 of the family's 1533-position model. The record is from RNAcentral.